Molecule: ribosomal RNA, 292 nt
Filed under: uncultured Planctomycetota bacterium
Lineage: Bacteria; Pseudomonadati; Planctomycetota
Description: uncultured planctomycete partial 16S ribosomal RNA
Source: RNAcentral
GGACUACCGGGGUUUCUAAUCCCGUUCGCUCCCCUGGCUUUCGCGCCUCAGCGUCAGUAGGUGUCCAGCACGCCGCUUUCGCCACCGGCGUUCCUUCCGAUAUCUACGCAUUUCACCGCUCCACCGGAAGUUCCGCAUGCCCCUACACCCCUCGAGAAUAGCAGUAUCCACGGCCGUUUCACGGUUAAGCCGCAAGAUUUCACCGCAGACUUGCUAUCCCGCCUACGCGCCCUUUAAGCCCAGUGAUUCCGAACAACGUUCGCACGGUUCGUCUUACCGCGGCUGCUGGCAC